RNAcentral lists this ribosomal RNA (632 nucleotides) under uncultured bacterium. RNAcentral's name for it is "bacterial SSU rRNA". It matches the Rfam family "Bacterial small subunit ribosomal RNA", at positions 79 to 707 of the family's 1533-position model. The record is from RNAcentral.
CUUGCUUCUCUUGAGAGCGGCGGACGGGUGAGUAAUGCCUAGGAAUCUGCCUGGUAGUGGGGGAUAACGUUCGGAAACGGACGCUAAUACCGCAUACGUCCUACGGGAGAAAGCAGGGGACCUUCGGGCCUUGCGCUAUCAGAUGAGCCUAGGUCGGAUUAGCUAGUUGGUGGGGUAAUGGCUCACCAAGGCGACGAUCCGUAACUGGUCUGAGAGGAUGAUCAGUCACACUGGAACUGAGACACGGUCCAGACUCCUACGGGAGGCAGCAGUGGGGAAUAUUGGACAAUGGGCGAAAGCCUGAUCCAGCCAUGCCGCGUGUGUGAAGAAGGUCUUCGGAUUGUAAAGCACUUUAAGUUGGGAGGAAGGGUUGUAGAUUAAUACUCUGCAAUUUUGACGUUACCGACAGAAUAAGCACCGGCUAACUCUGUGCCAGCAGCCGCGGUAAUACAGAGGGUGCAAGCGUUAAUCGGAAUUACUGGGCGUAAAGCGCGCGUAGGUGGUUUGUUAAGUUGGAUGUGAAAUCCCCGGGCUCAACCUGGGAACUGCAUUCAAAACUGACUGACUAGAGUAUGGUAGAGGGUGGUGGAAUUUCCUGUGUAGCGGUGAAAUGCGUAGAUAUAGGAAGGAAC